GAGGGUAUAGCUCAGUGGUGGAGCACAUGCUUAGCAUGCACGAGGUCCUGGGUUCAAUCCCCAGGAUCCCCA
This 72-nucleotide transfer RNA is filed under the name Camelus bactrianus (Bactrian camel). It matches the Rfam family "tRNA". From Rfam's summary of the family: Transfer RNA (tRNA) molecules are approximately 80 nucleotides in length. Their secondary structure includes four short double-helical elements and three loops (D, anti-codon, and T loops). Lineage: Eukaryota; Metazoa; Chordata; Mammalia; Artiodactyla; Camelidae. RNAcentral also lists the same sequence under 2 other names. The record is from Rfam by way of RNAcentral.